RNAcentral lists this ribosomal RNA (460 nucleotides) under uncultured bacterium. RNAcentral's name for it is "partial 16S ribosomal RNA". It matches the Rfam family "Bacterial small subunit ribosomal RNA", at positions 338 to 795 of the family's 1533-position model. The record is from RNAcentral.
CCUACGGGUGGCAGCAGUGAGGAAUAUUGGUCAAUGGACGAGAGUCUGAACCAGCCAAGUAGCGUGAAGGAUGACUGCCCUAUGGGUUGUAAACUUCUUUUAUAUGGGAAUAAAAUGAUCCACGUGUGGCUUUUUGUAUGUACUAUAUGAAUAAGGAUCGGCUAACUCCGUGCCAGCAGCCGCGGUAAUACGGAGGAUCCGAGCGUUAUCCGGAUUUAUUGGGUUUAAAGGGAGCGUAGGUGGGUUGUUAAGUCAGUUGUGAAAGUUUGCGGCUCAACCGUAAAAUUGCAGUUGAAACUGGCAGGCUUGAGUACAGUAGAGGUAGGCGGAAUUCGUGGUGUAGCGGUGAAAUGCUUAGAUAUCACGAAGAACUCCGAUUGCGAAGGCAGCCUACUGGACUGCAACUGACAUUGAUGCUCGAAAGUGUGGGUAUCAAACAGGAUUAGAUACCCGGGUAGUC